RNAcentral lists this long non-coding RNA (924 nucleotides) under Callithrix jacchus (white-tufted-ear marmoset). RNAcentral's name for it is "lncRNA (ENSCJAG00000081288.1)". The record is from RNAcentral. Lineage: Eukaryota; Metazoa; Chordata; Mammalia; Primates; Cebidae.
CGGAAAAUAGUAUUUUGACUGCUAAAUGUAAGGAUAAAGACAAUGAGAAAUGUACAAAAAUGUUAUGCUCUAGUCAGUAAAUAUAGUUCUCUCUUUGAGGAUGGUAUGGUUUGUCUGUGUACCCACCUAAAUGUCAUCUAGAAUUGUAGUUCCCAUAAUCCCCACGUGUGUGGGAGGGACCAGGAUAAUGAAAUCAUGGGGGCGGUUUCCCUCAUCCCAUUCUCGUGAUAGUGAGUUCUAGCAAGAUCUGAUGGUUUUCUAAAGGGUCCCGCUUUUAAACUGUGCUUCUCCUUGCUGCUUCGGCGUUGUGAAGGAUUUGUUUGCUUCCUCUUCCGCCAUGAUUUUAAGUUUCCAGAGGCGUCUCCAGCCCUGCGAAACUUCUUUUUUAAAAUAAAUUACCCAGGCUUGAGAAUGUCUUUAUUUGCAGCCUGAGAACGGGCCAAUACAAAGGAGAAACAAGGCCAGGUGUAGUGGCUCAGACCUGGAAACUCCAAUGCUUUGGGAGGCUGAGGUGGGAGCAUCGUUGGAGGCCAGGAAGGCAAGACGAGGAUGGGAAACAUAUCAAAACCCUGACUCUACCAAAAAAAAAAAAAUGGUGUUCUUCAUCCUGUCUACAAAUUCUGCUAUUCACUGCAGGGGCCUCAUUGUUCUCAGCUGACAACGGAGUUUAAAAACAGUGCUGUCCUGAAGGCUGUGAAGACUGCAGUGUGAUUUUUAUCCUGGGAGAUGUGCACUUUUGCGGUACUGCCUAUCUCAUAGUGUUUUCUGAGGACUAAAAGAGUCAUCACAUUCAUGUGAUGCCGUAUGUAAUAAGCACUUAAAGAAUGUAAGCUAUCAUUAUUUUCAUUGUUUAGUUAUUAAUCAUUAUUUUUAAAAUUAUAAACACUGUGCAGUCCAAAUAAAAAUGUUUACCAGUGAGCAACA